UACGGAGGGGGCAAGCGUUGUUCGGAUUUAUUGGGCGUAAAGCGCGUGUAGGCGGUACGGUAAGUCGGAUGUUAAAGACCCACGGCUCACCCGGGGGAGUGCGUUCGAUACUGCCGUGCUAGAGUGCAGGAGAGGAAAGUGGAAUUCCUGGUGUAGCGGUGAAAUGCGUAGAUAUCAGGAGGAACACCGGUGGCGAAGGCGGCUUUCUGGCCCGUAACUGACGCUGAGACGCGAAAGCAUGGGGAGCGAACGGGAUUAGAUACCCCGGUAGUCCAUGCCGUAAACGUUGGAUACUAGGUGUUGGAGGUUUUCUACCCCUUCAGUGCCGCAGCUAACGCAUUAAGUAUCCCGCCUGGGGAGUACGACCGCAAGGUUGAA
This 378-nucleotide ribosomal RNA is filed under the name uncultured bacterium. RNAcentral's name for it is "bacterial SSU rRNA". It matches the Rfam family "Bacterial small subunit ribosomal RNA", at positions 524 to 898 of the family's 1533-position model. The record is from RNAcentral.